UCAUUCGAUAACUGUUGUUUGUCUCUAUUGAUACGGGAACGUACAGUACUGUCAUGAACUGGGGAGAAAUUCCUUGAUUAAGCAAUACCAACCUAGGGAUAGGGGGCAGGACGAUCAAUUGUUUUUUCUUCUAUUCGAUAAUGCAUUGCUAAUUGCUAGGGGAGGCUAGGGAUAGCAAGCUGGUAAUUAGUAAUAGGCUCUUUUCGCCGAGGGAUCGGGUUAAGGGUAGGCCAAGAAAGUUUGCAUAACAAUUAGAUAAUCAAGCACAUUAAACAAGAGGAGUAGAUAAGACAGAGUGAAUAAGAUGAAAUUGUCAACCCCCAACAACUCCAUUCAUCCAUAGUCUUUUUUGUCAAUUGAAUCAAAUACUUUGCAUGUUUAUUUUCUGUCCUUGCAUUCUACACAAUUAAUUUUUUUCUACAAGUCUUACAAUUUUGAUUCACACGAACGAUAAG
RNAcentral lists this long non-coding RNA (455 nucleotides) under Vigna radiata. Its description in RNAcentral is "long non-coding RNA (VRAD_LNC006712)". Lineage: Eukaryota; Viridiplantae; Streptophyta; Magnoliopsida; Fabales; Fabaceae. The record is from RNAcentral.